RNAcentral lists this long non-coding RNA (1581 nucleotides) under Panax ginseng (ginseng). RNAcentral's name for it is "long non-coding RNA (PGIN_LNC004876)". The record is from RNAcentral. Lineage: Eukaryota; Viridiplantae; Streptophyta; Magnoliopsida; Apiales; Araliaceae.
AACUUAAUUAUACAACAUGAGCUGAGAGGUUUUACACGAAUAUUGUCAUCUAGACAAUAUCCAAACUCAAAUAGAGUUCUCAUUACAUUUAUCGGCAUACUAUUUUAUAGAAUAGUGAGGACUACUAUAACACCAUCUCGGGCAAUCACUCCGUUCCCCGACUAGUUCCGGCUACGUUCUCAUUUCCUGAAGAGAACAAUGGAAGUAAAAGGGUGAGUUCAACUAGCCCGGUAAGAAAUAUUAUGACUAAGAUAGUGCAGAAUAAGUUAUCAUUAGCCUUCAACAAUGUUAAACUGAUAGAAUAUAAUAGACAACAAGUUUAACUGCAGUGGAACAAGCAAUCCAUUAGAAGAGUCAAGUAGAGCAUGAUAUCUACUAUCUUCUAUGAUUUAAAAAGUUUAUCAAUAACUUUAUUGCUGGGACUCAACUUAAUAAAUAGAUCACAUCAUCGAAUCAUCCCUUCACUACGAGCCAAGGAUAUUCAUUAGUAUCACGUCCACAAAUUAUUCUUGCACUACGGGCCAAGAAUUAUUCGUGUAAUCAUCAAUGGUCAUGACUAUACCGAAUUAUCCCUGGUCAUAAUCAUACCAAUCUACAGUCCAUCUAUUCACGUAAGCCAAAGAUGACUUUCAUCACAAUAUAAUCAUGAGGAUGAUGACAAUGAUAUAAGAAUUCAAUUAAAAGAAAGCAAAGGAUAAUUUUUUAAAGAUUUAUAAUUUAAUUUAUCCAAAAUUCAAUAAUGUCCAACUUUUCAACAUGAUACUGCUUUGGACAUAAAAAAAAUAAAUUUUUUGGUGAAUAGUACCUCAUGAAUAGUACUUCAGGAAUAGUACCCCGUGAAUAGUAUCCCGAUAUGAAAAGUGGCCCAAAUACCCGAGUGAACAAUAUUUGAGUGUAGUAAUUAGGUGAAUAGUAACCCGUGAAUAGUAACUCGUGAAUAGUACCCCGAUAUGAAAAGUGCCACGAAUACCCGAGUGAAUAAUAUUAUAGUGAAUAGUAACCAGGUGAAUAGUAACCCAUGAAUAGUAACUCAUGAAUAGUACUUCGAGUAAAAAUAUUGAUAUUUAAUAAAAAAGUUCAUAUCAAUAUUCCAAUAAAAUAAUAUUGGAUAAUGCGCAAAACUCACGGAUGUUCCACUAAUUUCAAGGAUUAUAGAAGCAAUACUUACCAUAGUAAGUUUAGAUUUAAGAAUAUGAAAAGAAUUAACAUACGAAAACUGCAAAUGGAUUUUCACCUAUCAUACGGUACGUAAUCCGCGUAGACAGGUUAUUCCGACAUACUAAAGGAUGAAUACGAAAAAUAGUAUUCCUUAUGAAUACGAAAGAAAUAAUACCAUUUACCUUAGUAGAAAGCUGGAUACUGCAAAAGUGAAGUAGGAGAAUACUCUUCUUCUUGCUCUCUAUAGUUUCUCUCUCUAUAGUGUCUCUUGUGAAUCUCAGUGAAUUGGUGAGAAUGAAAGAAGAAUUAAGCUUCUAUUUAUAGGAGAAUGGACUAAAUAGUAACUAAUUCACGAACGGUCCAGAUUGAUUCACUAUUAAAACGGACGGUCCAUAUUGAUUACUAUUAAAACCACAACCGACG